CCCGCUGAACUUAAGCAUAUUAAUAAGCGGAGGAAAAGAAACUAACAAGGAUUCCCUGAGUAAUGGCGAAUGAAAAGGGAAAAGCUCAAGAUUGAAUCGGAUGCUCCUAACGGACAUCUCGAGUUGUAAUCUUAAGAAUGUUUGUUCAACCACGUGGACCCGGGCAUAAACCUUUGGAAUAAAGGUGUUCAUAGAGGGUGAGAAUCCUGUCUAUGACUCGGUGUUCGCUGUGUUUGACCAGAUGUUCGACGAGUAGAUUAGGGUGGUAUCCCUGGUCGAAUAAAGGUGGUAAUCCUCAUCUAAAGCUAAAUACCAGCCAGAGACCGAUAGUUCACAAGUACCGUGAGGGAAAGGUGAAAAGAACUUUGAAAAGAGAGUUAAACUGUAUCUGAAAUUGCUAAGAGGUAACCGGCGGAAACCAGCCAUAUUUCUUAGGUUUACUUUACUAUCUUUGCGAGUGGUCAAGGUUUUAAGCUGCGUUUCGUAAGGGACGUAGCAUAGGAUCUUGGACAUUCGUUGGUGGGAUUGUAGGCUUGAGAAGCGUCAGAAUCAGUUCUCUCUUGCCGGAGAAGACUGGAGGAAAGGUAGGAAGCGGGGGGUUCUUCUUCCCGUUUCAACUUAUAGUCCUCCAUGUUCCUUUACGGUGAGGUGGGAUUGAGGUCCGAAAAUGUCCGAUAAGGCACCCUUUAUUGGAUAGAAGCCCUUGGUCCGCUUUUGCUCUUUGAUUGGAACAAUUAAACGUUGUGUCAGUUGAAGAGUGGAGUGCUACUGGGGAUACUUCAUUCGUGUCCUUCGCGAUUUUGACUUAAUGGUUUCUACCGACCCGUCUUGAAACACGG
RNAcentral lists this ribosomal RNA (839 nucleotides) under uncultured fungus. Its description in RNAcentral is "eukaryotic LSU rRNA". It matches the Rfam family "Eukaryotic large subunit ribosomal RNA", at positions 24 to 664 of the family's 3401-position model. Lineage: Eukaryota; Fungi. The record is from RNAcentral.